This 574-nucleotide ribosomal RNA is filed under the name uncultured bacterium. Its description in RNAcentral is "bacterial SSU rRNA". It matches the Rfam family "Bacterial small subunit ribosomal RNA", at positions 31 to 596 of the family's 1533-position model. The record is from RNAcentral.
GAACGCUGGCGGCAGGCUUAACACAUGCAAGUCGAGCGGUAACAGGGGGUGCUUGCACCCCGCUGACGAGCGGCGGACGGGUGAGUAAUGCUUAGGAAUCUGCCCAGUAGUGGGGGAUAGCCCGGGGAAACCCGGAUUAAUACCGCAUACGUCCUACGGGAGAAAGCAGGGGAUCUUCGGACCUUGCGCUAUUGGAUGAGCCUAAGUCGGAUUAGCUAGUUGGUGGGGUAAAGGCCUACCAAGGCAACGAUCCGUAGCUGGUUUGAGAGGAUGAUCAGCCACAUCGGGACUGAGACACGGCCCGAACUCCUACGGGAGGCAGCAGUGGGGAAUAUUGGACAAUGGGGGCAACCCUGAUCCAGCCAUGCCGCGUGUGUGAAGAAGGCUUUCGGGUUGUAAAGCACUUUCAGUAAGGAGGAAAACCUUACGGUUAAUAACCGUGAGGCUUGAUGUUACUUACAGAAGAAGCACCGGCUAACUCCGUGCCAGCAGCCGCGGUAAUACGGAGGGUGCAAGCGUUAAUCGGAAUUACUGGGCGUAAAGCGCGCGUAGGUGGUUCGAUAAGCGGGAUGUG